ACGGCCGCAUCACGUUGAAACACCGAUUCCCAUGCGAUCACCGAAGUUAAGCAACGCCGAGCCUGGUGAUUUCCUAGAUGGGUGACCGCUUCGGAAGUCAC
Non-coding RNA from Acanthosepion pharaonis, 101 nucleotides. NCBI's taxonomy places the organism in Eukaryota, Metazoa, Mollusca, Cephalopoda, Sepiida, Sepiidae. The record is from the annotation of a GenBank genome assembly.